RNAcentral lists this ribosomal RNA (829 nucleotides) under Arthrobacter sp. PAP1-16_Pa. Its description in RNAcentral is "bacterial SSU rRNA". It matches the Rfam family "Bacterial small subunit ribosomal RNA", at positions 56 to 895 of the family's 1533-position model. Lineage: Bacteria; Bacillati; Actinomycetota; Actinomycetes; Micrococcales; Micrococcaceae. The record is from RNAcentral.
UGCAAGUCGAACGAUGAUCUCCAGCUUGCUGGGGGGAUUAGUGGCGAACGGGUGAGUAACACGUGAGUAACCUGCCCUUGACUCUGGGAUAAGCCUGGGAAACUGGGUCUAAUACCGGAUACGACCGUCCCGCGCAUGCGGUGGUGGUGGAAAGCUUUUGCGGUUUUGGAUGGACUCGCGGCCUAUCAGCUUGUUGGUGGGGUAAUGGCCUACCAAGGCGACGACGGGUAGCCGGCCUGAGAGGGUGACCGGCCACACUGGGACUGAGACACGGCCCAGACUCCUACGGGAGGCAGCAGUGGGGAAUAUUGCACAAUGGGCGAAAGCCUGAUGCAGCGACGCCGCGUGAGGGAUGACGGCCUUCGGGUUGUAAACCUCUUUCAGUAGGGAAGAAGCGAAAGUGACGGUACCUGCAGAAGAAGCGCCGGCUAACUACGUGCCAGCAGCCGCGGUAAUACGUAGGGCGCAAGCGUUAUCCGGAAUUAUUGGGCGUAAAGAGCUCGUAGGCGGUUUGUCGCGUCUGCUGUGAAAGACCGGGGCUCAACUCCGGUUCUGCAGUGGGUACGGGCAGACUAGAGUGAUGUAGGGGAGACUGGAAUUCCUGGUGUAGCGGUGAAAUGCGCAGAUAUCAGGAGGAACACCGAUGGCGAAGGCAGGUCUCUGGGCAUUAACUGACGCUGAGGAGCGAAAGCAUGGGGAGCGAACAGGAUUAGAUACCCUGGUAGUCCAUGCCGUAAACGUUGGGCACUAGGUGUGGGGGACAUUCCACGUUUUCCGCGCCGUAGCUAACGCAUUAAGUGCCCCGCCUGGGGAGUACGGCCGCAAGGUA